GUAUCAAGUUGGUGCAAAAGUUACUGUGGUUUUUGCCACUGAAAGUAAUGGCAAAAACUGCAAUCACUUUUGCACCAACCUAAUA
Molecule: microRNA precursor, 85 nt
Organism: Colobus angolensis palliatus
Lineage: Eukaryota; Metazoa; Chordata; Mammalia; Primates; Cercopithecidae
Source: Ensembl